Molecule: non-coding RNA, 311 nt
Organism: Paramuricea clavata
Lineage: Eukaryota; Metazoa; Cnidaria; Anthozoa; Malacalcyonacea; Plexauridae
Source: the annotation of a GenBank genome assembly
AUUUAAUAGUACAAAAUGGCGAUGAAACUAGUGUAGUUUUGUGUCAAUCUUGGUGUGUUUUAGUGAGGUUUUUGUCUUCCGUCCACUCGUACUGUCCUUGUCGAGUAUUUUUACGUACUGUCUUGUACUUUAUCUUUGUAAUAUGGACGUAAGCUCUAUGGUAAAUGGUCAAACAGAGCCGAUAAAACUAUUUGUCGGCCAAGUACCUAGGAACUGGGAAACUGAACAACUUAGGCCGAUAUUUGAACCUUAUGGCGAGGUACAAGAGUUAUCUAUCUUGAAAGAUCGAGUUACUGGACAGCAUAAAGGUU